CUACGAAGUAGAGUGUGCCUUCGGGAACUAAGUGACAGGUGAUGCAUGGCCGUCGUCAGCUCGUGUCGUGAGAUGUUAGGUUAAGUCCUUCAACGAGCGCAACCCUUAUAGUCUGUUGUAUUUUUCAGGCUGGACUGCCCUGGCAACAGGGAGGAAGGGGGGGAUGAGGUCAGGUCAGUAUUUCCCUUACGUCUGGGGCUACAAACACGCUACAAUGGCCAGUACAAAGGGCUGCCAAGUCGCGAGACGGAACAAAUCCCAUCAAAGCCGGUCUCAGUUCGGAUAGCAGGCUGAAACUCGCCUGCUUGAAGCUGGAAUCGCUAGUAACGGUAGGUCAGCACACUACCGUGAAUACGUUCCCGGGUCUUGUCACACCGACUUGUNCACNCCGA
This 392-nucleotide ribosomal RNA is filed under the name uncultured bacterium. RNAcentral describes it as "bacterial SSU rRNA". It matches the Rfam family "Bacterial small subunit ribosomal RNA", at positions 999 to 1407 of the family's 1533-position model. The record is from RNAcentral.